AAUGAUGUGGCUCUGUGGUAGAGCACUUGCUUAACAUGUAGGAGGCCCUGAGUUCAAUCUCCAGCAUCACCA
Molecule: transfer RNA, 72 nt
Filed under: Ictidomys tridecemlineatus (thirteen-lined ground squirrel)
Lineage: Eukaryota; Metazoa; Chordata; Mammalia; Rodentia; Sciuridae
Description: Spermophilus tridecemlineatus (thirteen-lined ground squirrel) tRNA
Rfam family: tRNA
About the family: Transfer RNA (tRNA) molecules are approximately 80 nucleotides in length. Their secondary structure includes four short double-helical elements and three loops (D, anti-codon, and T loops).
Source: Rfam by way of RNAcentral